GAUAAGGUCAGCUAAUUAAGCUUUCGGGCCCAUACCCCGAACAUGACGGUUAAACCCCCUCCCCUAUCA
This 69-nucleotide transfer RNA is filed under the name Homatula berezowskii. Its description in RNAcentral is "tRNA-Met". Lineage: Eukaryota; Metazoa; Chordata; Actinopteri; Cypriniformes; Nemacheilidae. The record is from RNAcentral.